GCUUGCUGGGGGAUUAGUGGCGAACGGGUGAGUAACACGUGAGUAACCUGCCCUUAACUCUGGGAUAAGCCUGGGAAACUGGGUCUAAUACCGGAUAUGACUCCUCAUCGCAUGGUGGGGGGUGGAAAGCUUUAUUGUGGUUUUGGAUGGACUCGCGGCCUAUCAGCUUGUUGGUGAGGUAAUGGCUCACCAAGGCGACGACGGGUAGCCGGCCUGAGAGGGUGACCGGCCACACUGGGACUGAGACACGGCCCAGACUCCUACGGGAGGCAGCAGUGGGGAAUAUUGCACAAUGGGCGAAAGCCUGAUGCAGCGACGCCGCGUGAGGGAUGACGGCCUUCGGGUUGUAAACCUCUUUCAGUAGGGAAGAAGCGAAAGUGACGGUACCUGCAGAAGAAGCGCCGGCUAACUACGUGCCAGCAGCCGCGGUAAUACGUAGGGCGCAAGCGUUAUCCGGAAUUAUUGGGCGUAAAGAGCUCGUAGGCGGUUUGUCGCGUCUGCCGUGAAAGUCCGGGGCUCAACUCCGGAUCUGCGGUGGGUACGGGCAGACUAGAGUGAUGUAGGGGAGACUGGAAUUCCUGGUGUAGCGGUGAAAUGCGCAGAUAUCAGGAGGAACACCGAUGGCGAAGGCAGGUCUCUGGGCAUUAACUGACGCUGAGGAGCGAAAGCAUGGGGAGCGAACAGGAUUAGAUACCCUGGUAGUCCAUGCCGUAAACGUUGGGCACUAGGUGUGGGGGACAUUCCACGUUUUCCGCGCCGUAGCUAACGCAUUAAGUGCCCCGCCUGGGGAGUACGGCCGCAAGGCUAAAACUCAAAGGAAUUGACGGGGGCCCGCACAAGCGGCGGAGCAUGCGGAUUAAUUCGAUGCAACGCGAAGAACCUUACCAAGGCUUGACAUGAACCGGAAACACCUGGAAACAGGUGCCCCGCUUGCGGUCGGUUUACAGGUGGUGCAUGGUUGUCGUCAGCUCGUGUCGUGAGAUGUUGGGUUAAGUCCCGCAACGAGCGCAACCCUCGUUCUAUGUUGCCAGCGCGUUAUGGCGGGGACUCAUAGGAGACUGCCGGGGUCAACUCGGAGGAAGGUGGGGACGACGUCAAAUCAUCAUGCCCCUUAUGUCUUGGGCUUCACGCAUGCUACAAUGGCCGGUACAAAGGGUUGCGAUACUGUGAGGUGGAGCUAAUCCCAAAAAGCCGGUCUCAGUUCGGAUUGGGGUCUGCAACUCGACCCCAUGAAGUCGGAGUCGCUAGUAAUCGCAGAUCAGCAACGCUGCGG
RNAcentral lists this ribosomal RNA (1273 nucleotides) under uncultured Actinomycetes bacterium. RNAcentral's name for it is "bacterial SSU rRNA". It matches the Rfam family "Bacterial small subunit ribosomal RNA", at positions 78 to 1362 of the family's 1533-position model. The record is from RNAcentral. Lineage: Bacteria; Bacillati; Actinomycetota; Actinomycetes.